GUCGAACCUGCAUAGCAGAACGACCCGCGAACACGUUACACUACCAGGUGAUGGAAGAGGGGUGCGCCAGCUCUCCCAAGUGUCAAACCCCUGGUGGGGGACCACCCUUGGGUGGCUCUCGCUCCGAACAACGACCCCAAGGCAGCGAAAUGCGCCAAGGAAAUCAAACUGAAAUUUACACCUCCCCCCCGCUUUGCCCGGCGGCCCCAAGAGAUCUUUCUAAAACACAAACCACUCUCGUCUAUCGAUAUCUCGGCUCUCACAUCGAUGAACAAAGUACCCAACUGCCUAUACUUGUUGUGAAUUGCACAAACCCCUGAACCAUCUAGUCUUUGAACACACGUUGCACCCAAAGCCAUUAUGACCACGGCACGUCUGCCUGGGCGUCACGCAUAGGGUCCCCCCCCAACCCAUCAAUCCCUUGCUGCACUUGACGCCGACGGUCGGAUAACGGGCUCCCUUGUCUCACAUUGCGUUUGGCCCAAAUGCCAGUCCUUGGCUAUGGACAUCCCGACAAGUGGUGGAUGUAAAACGCCCUCAUCUCAUGUCGAGCGGAGACCCUUCCCCAGCAAAACCUCUUAUGACCCUGUUGCGCAGGCCACCACGCGAGCUCAGACUGCGACCCC
Molecule: ribosomal RNA, 626 nt
Filed under: Panax assamicus
Lineage: Eukaryota; Viridiplantae; Streptophyta; Magnoliopsida; Apiales; Araliaceae
Description: eukaryotic LSU rRNA
Rfam family: 5.8S ribosomal RNA (bases 233-389)
Source: RNAcentral